This 604-nucleotide ribosomal RNA is filed under the name Escherichia coli. RNAcentral describes it as "partial 23S ribosomal RNA". It matches the Rfam family "Bacterial large subunit ribosomal RNA", at positions 626 to 1230 of the family's 2925-position model. Lineage: Bacteria; Pseudomonadati; Pseudomonadota; Gammaproteobacteria; Enterobacterales; Enterobacteriaceae. The record is from RNAcentral.
ACUUAUAUUCUGUAGCAAGGUUAACCGAAUAGGGGAGCCGAAGGGAAACCGAGUCUUAACUGGGCGUUAAGUUGCAGGGUAUAGACCCGAAACCCGGUGAUCUAGCCAUGGGCAGGUUGAAGGUUGGGUAACACUAACUGGAGGACCGAACCGACUAAUGUUGAAAAAUUAGCGGAUGACUUGUGGCUGGGGGUGAAAGGCCAAUCAAACCGGGAGAUAGCUGGUUCUCCCCGAAAGCUAUUUAGGUAGCGCCUCGUGAAUUCAUCUCCGGGGGUAGAGCACUGUUUCGGCAAGGGGGUCAUCCCGACUUACCAACCCGAUGCAAACUGCGAAUACCGGAGAAUGUUAUCACGGGAGACACACGGCGGGUGCUAACGUCCGUCGUGAAGAGGGAAACAACCCAGACCGCCAGCUAAGGUCCCAAAGUCAUGGUUAAGUGGGAAACGAUGUGGGAAGGCCCAGACAGCCAGGAUGUUGGCUUAGAAGCAGCCAUCAUUUAAAGAAAGCGUAAUAGCUCACUGGUCGAGUCGGCCUGCGCGGAAGAUGUAACGGGGCUAAACCAUGCACCGAAGCUGCGGCAGCGACGCUUAUGCGUUGUUGGGUA